RNAcentral lists this ribosomal RNA (497 nucleotides) under uncultured bacterium. Its description in RNAcentral is "partial 16S ribosomal RNA". It matches the Rfam family "Bacterial small subunit ribosomal RNA", at positions 28 to 507 of the family's 1533-position model. The record is from RNAcentral.
GAUGAACGCUGGCGGCGUGCCUAAUACAUGCAAGUCGAGCGGACGGACGAGAAGCUUGCUUCUCUGAUGUUAGCGGCGGAGGGGUGAGUGACACGUGGAUAACCUACCUAUAAGACUGGGAUAACUUCGGGACACCGGAGCUAAUACCGGAUAAUAUUUUGAACCGCAGGGUGCAAUAGUGAAAGACGGUCUUGCGGUCACGUAUAGAGGGAUCCGCGCUGCAUUAGCUAGUUGGUAAGGUAACGGCUUACCAAGGCAACGAUGCAUAGCCGACCUGAGAGGGUGAUCGGCCCCCCUGGAACUUAGCCGCGGUCCAGACUCCUGCGGGAGGCAGCAGUAGGGAAUCUUCCGCAAUGGGCGAAAGCCUGACGGAGCAACGCCGCGUGAGUGAUGAAGGUCUUCGGAUCGUAAAGCUCUGUUAUUAGGGAAGAACAUAUGUGUAAGUAACUGUGCACAUCUUGACGGUACCUAAUCAGAAAGCCACGGCUAACUACGUG